UUGGUGAGGUAAUGGCUCACCAAGGCGACGACGGGUAGCCGGCCUGAGAGGGCGACCGGCCACACUGGGACUGAGACACGGCCCAGACUUCUACGGGAGGCAGCAGUGGGGAAUACUACACAAUGGGCGAAAGCCUGAUGCAGCGACGCCGCGUGAGGGAUGACGGCCUUCGGGUUGUAAACCUCUUUCAGCAGGGAAGAAGCGAAAGUGACGGUACCUGCAGAAGAAGCGCCGGCUAACUACGUGCCAGCAGCCGCGGUAAUACGUAGGGCGCAAGCGUUGUCCGGAAUUAUUGGGCGUAAAGAGCUCGUAGGCGGCUUGUCACGUCGGGUGUGAAAGCCCGGGGCUUAACCCCGGGUCUGCAUUCGAUACGGGCUAGCUAGAGUGUGGUAGGGGAGAUCGGAAUUCCUGGUGUAGCGGUGAAAUGCGCAGAUAUCAGGAGGAACACCGGUGGCGAAGGCGGAUCUCUGGGCCAUUACUGACGCUGAGGAGCGAAAGCGUGGGGAGCGAACAGGAUUAGAUACCCUGGUAGUCCACGCCGUAAACGGUGGGAACUAGGUGUUGGCGACAUUCCACGUCGUCGGUGCCGCAGCUAACGC
This 599-nucleotide ribosomal RNA is filed under the name uncultured bacterium. RNAcentral describes it as "bacterial SSU rRNA". It matches the Rfam family "Bacterial small subunit ribosomal RNA", at positions 249 to 858 of the family's 1533-position model. The record is from RNAcentral.